AACUUAUGAUCGUGAUGUGUGGCGCGCAGCUUGUGUUUGUUUACAUGGUAGUUUAGUAACCAAUUCUAAAUUAUUGUUGCUUCUUUAAAUAUUAUAUUUCUGCCGAGAUCUGUAUUGUGAAAGACUACAACAUAAACAAAGAAAAUGAGUUUCGCAACAAAGCACCUGCAGGAACAACGCAGGCUGAAGGAGGUUAGCGCCCUCCAGACUAUGGCGCAGCUGGAGGCUAUAGAGGCUGAGAGGAUGAAGAUGGACCUCCGGGCCGAGGGGCGGCAGACGUUGCAGAAGCUGCGCAUUGCCAAGUGGGAAGCCGAAAAGGAAGAGCGGAUUGGCAAGCCAAAAAGUCUGCAGCGAGAACAGCUGUUUAAUCAGCUCCAUCAGGAUGAGGUUCUUGCAGAGGAAAUGGAUAAAGUCAAGCGGCAAGAGAUAGUGCAGCUGAAGCUCAGGCAGCAGUUACGUGAAUCGAGUGUUGAACUAAAAGAGUUAGAAUCGAAGUUGAGAGCAGCGUAUGUCUACAAGGAACUGUGUGCUCAGAAAGCAGAGAAGGAGGCAGAGAAGAUGAGGGAGAAAAUGUACGCAAAUGAAGAGCGAGAGGCUCUCCAGCGGAUGAAGAGGCAAGACGACGAGAUGGAGCUGAAGAAGCAGGAGGAGGAGGCGAAGCGGCAGAUAGAGUAUCGCCACCAGCUGCAGGACCAGAUGAUAGAGGCGUACAACCGGCGGGAGGCCGCCUUCAUUGAGUUCCUGCAGGAGAAGCAGAUGAUUGACGAGGCUGUGCGCAGGAUCCACGAGGAGGACAUGAGGGAGUUUGAGCAGAAGAUGCUAAUGAUGAAGAAGACGAAGAAGGAAAUGGAUGAUUUCAAGAAGGCACGUGACGAGUGGAGGAAGAAGGAAAUGGAAUCAGUUGAAAUGGAAAAUAGGAGGCUCGUGGAGUUCUUGCAGAAGAGAGAAGAGCGGGAAAAAGAAAGGAUGCAACAGUUGAAGGAAAAAGAAGAGAAGAAGGCCAGGGUGAAAGAGAGCCUUUCCCGCAAGCUCUUUGAGGAAGAUCUGAUGCGCCUGGAGCGGACAGACCUGCUGCAGCAGCUGGCGGAGGAAGACCUGCGGCAGGCGGCACUGCGCCGCGAGCAGGAGGACGUGGAGCGCGCCCUGCGCACGCGGCUCGACCUGCAGGACACGAUGCGGCAGCAGGCGCGUGACAAGGCGGAGCGGCUGCGCCGGGAGGCCGAGCAGGAGGACCGCUACCGCCAGCAGCUGACACGUGAGAUAAUGGAGAAGCAGCGCAUCGACCAGUUGACGGCAGAGAGGCAGAGGGUGCGACGUGCUGAGCUGCGGCGGGAGGUGGAGGAAAUGAUAGCAGAGCGUAGGCGGAAGCGGCAGGCGGAACUGCAGGAGCUGCACGAGCAGGAGCAGUGGCUGCAGCGGCUAGACGACGACAGGCGACGCAGGAUAGAAGAGGAACGCCUGCGCAUGCUGAAAGAGCACGCCAGCCGCCUCAUAGGCUUCAUGCCACCUGGCGUCCUGCGCGAGGACGACCUCCCUCACCUGGGUCCGGAGCUGGCCAAGAUGUACAAAGAACAGGCCAUCUGCUGAACCUGAGCAGGUAACAAAAGGGCAUAUCAGCUCACUUCAUUAUAUCGAUGAGCAACAGAAGACAUUCUUAUAACAAGGGACGCUGACAACUGCUUGAUAGUUCUGCACAACCGUAUUUCGAUGAUGAUAAUGUUACCACAAAUUAUUGACACUUUUAUGUAUUCCGUGGAUCAUACCAGGCGAGUCAUUUUGGCACUGUAUUUUUUUAAAUCUUGCAUUUAAAUAUGAAUUAAUGAUACUAGAUUAAGUUUUGUCAUUACCAGACGACUUUAAGAGUCAUAUGCAAACAUAUUUUUGCCUAGGGCUGUGUUAGGAAAUUAAUAAACUUUGUCUCAUACUUUUUAUGAAAAUACCACCUUGUCACUGACUUAAUCUUUUUGUAACAUGUUUUAUAUGGACUCUGGAAGAUUGAUCUCUUAUGCUUGAUCAACUUCUAAUUACACAGUCAAUGUAACGAGUGCACAAUUUUUAAAAUGUCCAUCACAAAAUUACAGACACUGUAGCAUAGGUGCAUGCACCACUUACUGUGCGGUUUGUUUUAGCACGUCAAAGAUGUUGAAACCUUUUAGUGUAGUCUGAAAAUUUUAACAUUGUUUUAUAUUUAAACACGUUUAUACCACUUUGUAUGUUUAUGAGACUGAAAUGUGUUGUACAUGAAUAUGUUUAUAAAAUUUAAUAAAAACUCAUGUUCAAAUAUAUCAUUCAGUAAUACUAGCUGUUCUGCUGAUCU
Schistocerca gregaria is the source of this 2317-nucleotide RNA transcript. It is a transcript of the gene named meiosis-specific nuclear structural protein 1-like, with no coding region annotated. Lineage: Eukaryota; Metazoa; Arthropoda; Insecta; Orthoptera; Acrididae. The record is from RefSeq and is a predicted model, not a curated record. The transcript has 12 exons.